Molecule: long non-coding RNA, 391 nt
Organism: Gopherus evgoodei (Goodes thornscrub tortoise)
Lineage: Eukaryota; Metazoa; Chordata; Testudines; Testudinidae
Exons: 4
Source: RefSeq, a predicted model, not a curated record
CCUCACCUGACCUCAGCCGGGGGGAAAGAGUCACACUCACAGGACACCCAGAAGGAACCUGAGCUAACCAAACCAAGCACCGUGAGGUGUAACUACUAUAUCUAAUAUGUUGCAUUUUGAAUCUUGACGCUAAGUGACGGUGGUUAGGAUCACUUAGUAACUACAAUGUGAGAGGCAGAUACAGCCGAGUUCUUGAACUGAAGCAGCUUCUGCUAGCCAGUGCCGGAGACAAGUUACUGGACUAGAUGAACCUCAUUUCUGACCCAGUUGGGUAGAUAAGAAGGAGCCAAUUCACAAGGAGCUCAUGCCAUUUAAGGAUUCAAACACAGAGAUAACUGUACCCUCACCCUUGUGAAAACCUGGCCCUAAAGCUUCUAAGAGGUACUCAGAU